CUACGACGUUGAUAGGUCGGGUGUGUAAGCGCAGCGAUGCGUUGAGCUAACCGAUACUAAUGAACCGUGAGGCUUAACCUUACAACGCCGAAGC
This 94-nucleotide ribosomal RNA is filed under the name Enterobacter cloacae. Its description in RNAcentral is "partial 23S ribosomal RNA". The stretch from base 1 to 81 matches the Rfam family "Bacterial large subunit ribosomal RNA", at positions 2845 to 2925 of the family's 2925-position model. RNAcentral also lists the same sequence under 2 other names. The record is from RNAcentral. Lineage: Bacteria; Pseudomonadati; Pseudomonadota; Gammaproteobacteria; Enterobacterales; Enterobacteriaceae.